CUUCCUCCGCCAAUUCCAGUUUACAAGAAGCCACUUCCUCCGCCAAUUCCAGUUUACAAGAAGCCACUUCCUCCACCAAUUCCAGUUUACAAGAAGCCGUUUCCCCAUCCAAUCUUCAAGAAGCCGAUUCCAAAAUUCAAGAAGCCAUUUCCUCCGCAUCCAUUCCUUGGGAAGCCAUUUCCUCCGCAUCCAUUCCUUGGGAAGCCGUUACCUCCCACUGUUCCCUAAACUAGACUAGCUACUUUUCCUUCCAAAUAAGAGAUGAGUAGCAUAUAAAUAGCUAUAGAAUAAAGUCCUACAUGGAGAGAGAAAUGAGGUUGUUGUAACUUUAUUAUCUUGAAAUUGUGGGUUGUGUUGUUGUACUUGUUUGAUUCUGCUGUUAUGCAGCUAC
This 391-nucleotide long non-coding RNA is filed under the name Malus domestica (apple). RNAcentral's name for it is "long non-coding RNA (MDOM_LNC002215)". Lineage: Eukaryota; Viridiplantae; Streptophyta; Magnoliopsida; Rosales; Rosaceae. The record is from RNAcentral.